CCCUUAGAUGUCCGGGGCCGCACGCGCGCUACACUGAAGGAAUCAGCGUGGCUUUCUCCCUGACCCGAAAGGGUUGGGAAACCCGUUGAAUCUCCUUCGUGAUAGGGAUUGGGGCUUGAAAUUGUUCCCCAUGAACGAGGAAUUCCCAGUAAGCGCGAGUCAUAAGCUCGCGUUGAUUACGUCCCUGCCCUUUGUACACACCGCCCGUCGCUCCUACCGAUUGAGUGGUCCGGUGAGGCUUUGGGAUCUGAGCGGAAAGAGCGUUUCGCCGUUUCUGCUCGGAAAACUCAGUCGAACCUUAUCAUUUAGAGGAAGGAGAAGUCGUAACA
RNAcentral lists this ribosomal RNA (329 nucleotides) under uncultured eukaryote. RNAcentral describes it as "partial 18S ribosomal RNA". It matches the Rfam family "Eukaryotic small subunit ribosomal RNA", at positions 1470 to 1796 of the family's 1831-position model. The record is from RNAcentral.